CAAACGUUAGACACCAAAAAUAUCUAACGCAGUAUUCUUAGAAUAUAUAGGUGAAAUAUUUUUUUAUUUUUUUAUUAAACGAGACAAUGUAAAGACAAACAUUUUGGGCGGCUUGGAAUAUUAUUACACCAUUUGGGAAUACAAAUAAUUGGGUGAAUCCUCUUCAAGCAUAUAGUGAUACCGGAAUUUUCGAAAGUGUUAGAGAAAGUUACAAACCAUUGUGAUCCUUAAUAUCAACAACUAAAAACUAAAAAUGGAAACAUAAUACAGUCAAUACGCAAAUUUAAUCAUCAUCAUUCCAGUCUUCAAAUAUUUUUUUGGUAUUUUCACAAAGAUGCGGAUGUUUACUACUUGGAACACUUUCAUAAUGAUCACAUUCGGACGCUGAUGAAUUGCCUUUCUUGUACUUAAGCGAACCCACUAAAUUGGUCAGUGAAUAAUUACAAGUAACUCAGAAUAAAAUACCUAAAGAACCGCUUUGGAAUAGCGCCAAACCACAACCGACAAAAGCUGCUCUUUAGUUUGCCAUUGCUGUGAAGUGCACGAGUUUUUGUCAGACAGCGUUGGAAUUCUUUUAAGACAAUUCGUUUGCCAGAGCAUUGCCAUCAUCAACAACAUUAUAUUCGGACCACCUUUUUAAUGUAAUUUUCACCUCAUCAACUAUUACUUUUGGCUUUAUACAUCCACCCCACUUAUUAAAAUUUUGACCAGAGUCUGGAAACCGUUCAGUACCAUGGCAAGCAUCGUGCUGCAUAUUACAACGUUUUGCAUGGAGUCCGGUUAUAUAUGCUAACUCGUCAUCUCAGAUUAUUUCGCGCAUGCGAGUGGCUUUUGGGAAGAUUCCAGCGCCUUGAUUUCCAAAUUCUUGUUCACCCCCAGUUAAUCUGUUGCGAUGUUCAUUGUGUCGAUCGACAUAAAGACGUUUGCCUUCUUUGAGCAACCACAUAAUCCGGGUCACACAUUAAAUGCUUACUCGUGCCACAUAAUUUAACCUGCUUAUCACAAUAAUAAUAAGCUUCGGUGAAAAUGCAAGAUCCUAUCGAAAUACCGACUGAAUAAAAGCGAAAAUAUUGAAUAUUAAACAUUAUAUAGAUAUGAAUAUAUUUAUAGAUAUGAAUUAAUUGUGUAAAUUUCCUUCAAAAUUUUUUAAUAAAAUUUGUAAAAAAUCUGAGUGAUUUUUGACACUUAAAUGUGUAAAUUCAA
Long non-coding RNA from Zeugodacus cucurbitae (melon fly), 1203 nucleotides. RefSeq lists it as uncharacterized. NCBI's taxonomy places the organism in Eukaryota, Metazoa, Arthropoda, Insecta, Diptera, Tephritidae. The record is from RefSeq and is a predicted model, not a curated record. The transcript is spliced from 2 exons.